This 506-nucleotide ribosomal RNA is filed under the name uncultured bacterium. RNAcentral describes it as "bacterial SSU rRNA". It matches the Rfam family "Bacterial small subunit ribosomal RNA", at positions 29 to 518 of the family's 1533-position model. The record is from RNAcentral.
AUGAACGCUGGCGGCGUGCCUAACACAUGCAAGUCGAACGAAGCACCUCGCCCGAUGAAGAGGAGAGCUUGCUCAAAUCGGAAUCAAUUGAGGUGACUUAGUGGCGGACGGGUGAGUAACGCGUGGGUAACCUGCCGUAUACAGGGGGAUAACAGUUAGAAAUGACUGCUAAUACCGCAUAAGCGCACAGUAUCGCAUGAUACAGUGUGAAAAGCCGAGACGGUAUACGAUGGACCCGCGUCUGAUUAGCCAGUUGGCAGGGUAACGGCCUACCAAAGCAACGAUCAGUAGCCGGCCUGAGAGGGUGAACGGCCACAUUGGGACUGAGACACGGCCCAAACUCCUACGGGAGGCAGCAGUGGGGGAUAUUGCACAAUGGGGGAAACCCUGAUGCAAGCGACGCCGCGUGAGCGAAGAAGUAUUUCGGUAUGUAAAGCUCUAUCAGCAGGGAAGAAAAUGACGGUACCUGACUAAGAAGCUCCGGCUAAAUACGUGCCAGCCGCCGC